This 468-nucleotide ribosomal RNA is filed under the name uncultured bacterium. Its description in RNAcentral is "partial 16S ribosomal RNA". It matches the Rfam family "Bacterial small subunit ribosomal RNA", at positions 28 to 507 of the family's 1533-position model. The record is from RNAcentral.
GACGAACGCUGGCGGCGUGCUUAACACAUGCAAGUCGAACGGUGAAGCUCCAGCUUGCUGGAGUGGAUCAGUGGCGAACGGGUGAGUAACACGUGAGCAACCUGCCCCUGACUCUGGAAUAAGCGCUGGAAACGGCGUCUAAUACUGGAUACGAGAAGGGUCCGCAUGGGCACUUUCUGGAAAGUUUUUCGGUUGGGGAUGGGCUCGCGGCCUAUCAGCUUGUUGGUGAGGUAAUGGCUCACCAAGGCGACGACGGGUAGCCGGCCUGAGAGGGCGACCGGCCACACUGGGACUGAGACACGGCCCAGACUCCUACGGGAGGCAGCAGUGGGGAAUAUUGCACAAUGGGCGAAAGCCUGAUGCAGCGACGCCGCGUGAGGGAUGACGGCCUUCGGGUUGUAAACCUCAUUCAGCAGGGAAGAAGCGAAAGUGACGGUACCUGCAGAAGAAGCACCGGCUAACUACGUG